GGCGGGAACACCCGCCGAGCUUAAGCAUAUCAAUAAGCGGAGGAGAAGAAACUUACGAGGAUUCCCCUAGUAACGGCGAGCGAACCGGGACCAGCCCAGCUUGAGAAUCGGGGGCCCGUGCCUCUCGAAUUGUAGUCUGGAGAAGCGUCCUCAGCGACGGACCGGGCCCAAGUCCCCUGGAAAGGGGCGCCGGGGAGGGUGAGAGCCCCGUCCGGCCCGGACCCUGCCGCACCACGAGGCGCUGUCGGCGAGUCGGGUUGUUUGGGAGUGCAGCCCCAAUCGGGCGGUAAAUU
RNAcentral lists this ribosomal RNA (293 nucleotides) under Streptococcus pneumoniae. Its description in RNAcentral is "partial 23S ribosomal RNA". It matches the Rfam family "Eukaryotic large subunit ribosomal RNA", at positions 14 to 305 of the family's 3401-position model. Lineage: Bacteria; Bacillati; Bacillota; Bacilli; Lactobacillales; Streptococcaceae. The record is from RNAcentral.